GACGAACGCUGGCGGCGUGCUUAACACAUGCAAGUCGAACGGUAAGGCCCUUCGGGGUACACGAGUGGCGAACGGGUGAGUAACACGUGGGUGAUCUGCCCUGCACUUCGGGAUAAGCCUGGGAAACUGGGUCUAAUACCGGAUAGGACUACUGGCUUCAUGGUUGGGGGUGGAAAGCUUUUGCGGUGUGGGAUGGGCCCGCGGCCUAUCAGCUUGCUGGUGGGGUAAUGGCCUACCAAGGCGACGACGGGUAGCCGGCCGGAGAGGGUGACCGGUCACACUGGGACUGAGAUACGGCCCAGACUCCUACGGGAGGCAGCAGUGGGGAAUAUUGCACAAUGGGCGCAAGCCUGAUGCAGCGACGCCGCGUGAGGGAUGACGGCCUUCGGGUUGUAAACCUCUUUCAGCUAUGACGAAGCGCAAGUGACGGUAGUAGCAGAAGAAGGACCGGCCAACUACGUGCCAGCCGCCGCAGUAA
Molecule: ribosomal RNA, 478 nt
Filed under: uncultured bacterium
Lineage: Bacteria
Description: partial 16S ribosomal RNA
Rfam family: Bacterial small subunit ribosomal RNA
Source: RNAcentral